This 405-nucleotide long non-coding RNA is filed under the name Equus caballus (horse). RNAcentral describes it as "lncRNA (ENSECAG00000055778.1)". The record is from RNAcentral. Lineage: Eukaryota; Metazoa; Chordata; Mammalia; Perissodactyla; Equidae.
CUCUGGAAAGAAUAGGAGCUUCCAAGACACAGGGCUGCCUUGGACAAAACGGGCUUAGAAAAUUCAGUCUGUGGGAGUUUGAGGGUGCUUCUAAGAAGACAGCCAGCUCAGGAAAGAUCGCAGAAGCUGGGUGUUACGAAUGAGCGCUGAACCAUGACCACUCUCAAUACUUAGAGAACAUCAUAUUUUUGUCAUGACGCUGAAGACACCAUAUGAAGUUGCUUCUUACCUCGCCUCUCUCCCUGACUAGACAUGGGGUUCAUCAAAGACUGUGAUAAAAGGACUCUGAAUCCUGGGUAGAAGAAGAUGAACUGGCUAAGGACCUCAGGACUAGAAGAACAAUACUGUGGUCUGGUGUCCCUCACAUCCUACCUAAGAACACCAAGAAGCUCAAGGCAACACCUU